This 497-nucleotide ribosomal RNA is filed under the name uncultured bacterium. RNAcentral describes it as "partial 16S ribosomal RNA". It matches the Rfam family "Bacterial small subunit ribosomal RNA", at positions 28 to 507 of the family's 1533-position model. The record is from RNAcentral.
GACGAACGCUGGCGGCGUGCCUAAUACAUGCAAGUAGAACGCUGAAACUUGGUGCUUGCACCGAGCGGAUGAGUUGCGAACGGGUGAGUAACGCGUAGGUAACCUGCCUGGUAGCGGGGGAUAACUAUUGGAAACGAUAGCUAAUACCGCAUAAGAGUAGAUGUUGCAUGACAUUUGCUUAAAAGGUGCAAUUGCACCACUACCAGAUGGACCUGCGUUGUAUUAGCUAGUUGGUGGGGUAACGGCUCACCAAGGCGACGAUACAUAGCCGACCUGAGAGGGUGAUCGGCCACACUGGGACUGAGACACGGCCCAGACUCCUACGGGAGGCAGCAGUAGGGAAUCUUCGGCAAUGGACGGAAGUCUGACCGAGCAACGCCGCGUGAGUGAAGAAGGUUUUCGGAUCGUAAAGCUCGGUUGUAAGAGAAGAAAGAGUGUGAGAGUGGAAAGUUCACACUGUGACGGUAUCUUACCAGAAAGGGACGGCUAACUACGUG